Molecule: ribosomal RNA, 433 nt
Filed under: uncultured bacterium
Lineage: Bacteria
Description: partial 16S ribosomal RNA
Rfam family: Bacterial small subunit ribosomal RNA
Source: RNAcentral
AACGAACGCUGGCGGCAUGCCUAACACAUGCAAGUCGAACGAGACCUUCGGGUCUAGUGGCGCACGGGUGCGUAACGCGUGGGAACCUGCCCUUAGGUUCGGAAUAACUCCCCGAAAGGGGUGCUAAUACCGGAUAAUGUCUUCGGACCAAAGAUUUAUCGCCUUUGGAUGGGCCCGCGUUGGAUUAGCUAGUUGGUAGGGUAAAAGCCUACCAAGGCGACGAUCCAUAGCUGGUCUGAGAGGAUGAUCAGCCACACUGGGACUGAGACACGGCCCAGACUCCUACGGGAGGCAGCAGUGGGGAAUAUUGGAAAAUGGGCGAAAGCCUGAUACAGCAAUGCCGCGUGAGUGAUGAAGGCCUUAGGGUUGUAAAGCUCUUUUACCCGGGAUGAUAAUGGCAGUACCGGGAGAAUAAGCUCCGGCUAACUCCGUG